This 972-nucleotide long non-coding RNA is filed under the name Mus musculus (house mouse). RNAcentral's name for it is "predicted gene, 49127". Lineage: Eukaryota; Metazoa; Chordata; Mammalia; Rodentia; Muridae. The record is from RNAcentral.
AAGCAUCAGGGCCUCCGCAUUGCAGGACUGCAUGUUCCCCAGGUUAUCGCAUGCGCACACACGGAUCGUGAGUGUGCCAGUGCUGCUUUGAAUAGGAUAAUCAUUGUCGAAGAUUAAAACCGGCAGUAGAUCAUUCUCAAAUAUUCAACUAAAAAUUAGGAAGAUAUAUACAAACAAGAGCAUCUUACAGAGCAUCCUCUGAUACUUUGUCUGCUAAUCCCCAGCUCGGCGUUCUCCCCCAUGUCUGGGUCAUUGGCUUUUAUCCUUCCAAGAUGAGUUCCAAGAGGUGCCGACUCCAGAGAAUUAAACUGAUAAGUGCCUGCAAGGUAAACCAUAGCUUCCUUCACUUUCAACUUAGGAUGACACAAGUUUUCUAUUUCCCUCUAAGUAAAGUGAUCUAAAUUGAGAGACAUUUUCAUCAUAUUGAAUUGUAUGCUGCCAAAGGUAUAGAUUGGUGGAGUGGAAGAAUAAUGCAUAAAAGAUAAAUUUUCUGUUUGUAUAUGAGAAAUUUAAGUUCCAGAAAGAUUAGAGAACGUCUCAUGUUAUUUAAGGAGCACACAAAAGCCUGGGAUAGGAAUGCAAACCAUCAGGUAUACCAACCAUAAUAACCAAUUGCUUGUUACUUGAUUAUGAUUUUUGAUAUUUUAAUCACACAUUUUAUCCACACUUAAAUAAUAGUUACAGUGAGAUUUUUCUAUUAAUGAAGUUUCCAUUAUUUGAAAUAUUAUACCUUCAUUCUUUUAUUCUAAGUUCUAGAAAAGUAAUUUUCAAGCAGUAAUGUCUUUAUUAGAGUUGUUUCUGCUCAAAUAUUUUAACUUUAAUGUCUUUGAGUAGCAUAUUUUCCAUGUUUAAUACAAAUCAGGACAUACAUCACAGUUUGUUCUUCUGUUUUGACAAGCAUCUCAUUUACAAGUUCUCUAUAAAUGUGUAAAUAUGAAAAUUGAAAAUAAUUAAAGAAAUAUACUUAAAAGU